This 350-nucleotide long non-coding RNA is filed under the name Homo sapiens (human). RNAcentral's name for it is "non-protein coding lnc-TBXAS1-1:2". Lineage: Eukaryota; Metazoa; Chordata; Mammalia; Primates; Hominidae. The record is from RNAcentral.
UGUAAAGGCAUUUUGGAGACACAGGCUGGGAAGAGUCUGGACAAGGCAAGGAGAGACUUGAGCCCAGGAGUGGAUCAAGAGGAAGAUGUGGAUGGUGCUUCUGCAAGGCACGGGCCUAUGUUAUUCACUAGAAGGUGAGCUCAAUUCUAGAAGAUGUUUCUUCAGUGUGCCCAGCUCCUGGAAAAGUGGACUCAAGAGAGGUUCUGGUGACAAAAAACCUCCACAAGAAACUACAGUUUCAAUCCACAGUGGGUUGCGCCUGCAAAGAAAUUUUUACAACACCAACCAUUCCUAAGGACCAUCUAUUCCUUCCUUAAUUAAAAGUAUAUAGUUAAAAAUACUUAGAGAAA